UUUAUGACCUCUGACCUCAAAUCAGGU
This 27-nucleotide ribosomal RNA is filed under the name Ganoderma adspersum. RNAcentral describes it as "partial 28S ribosomal RNA". Lineage: Eukaryota; Fungi; Basidiomycota; Agaricomycetes; Polyporales; Polyporaceae. The record is from RNAcentral.